Molecule: unclassified non-coding RNA, 244 nt
Filed under: Schizothecium sp.
Lineage: Eukaryota; Fungi; Ascomycota; Sordariomycetes; Sordariales; Schizotheciaceae
Also listed under: 1 other name
Description: partial contains 5.8S ribosomal RNA, internal transcribed spacer 2, and large subunit ribosomal RNA
Source: RNAcentral
AACGCACAUUGCGCCCGCUAGUAUUCUGGCGGGCAUGCCUGUUCGAGCGUCAUUUCAACCAUCAAGCCCUAGGCUUGCGUUGGAGCCCUGCGGCUGCCGCAGGCUCCCAAAUCCAGUGGCGGGCUCGUCGUCGUACCGAGUGCAGUAAACAUCCUCGCUCAGGGAACGUGACGGGUUCUUGCCGUGAAACCCCCCACAUAUCAAGGUUGACCUCGGAUCAGGUAGGAAUACCCGCUGAACUUAA